RNAcentral lists this long non-coding RNA (778 nucleotides) under Homo sapiens (human). RNAcentral describes it as "long intergenic non-protein coding RNA 1091". The record is from RNAcentral. Lineage: Eukaryota; Metazoa; Chordata; Mammalia; Primates; Hominidae.
ACUCUCCUUCCACUGACCAUUGAAAAUGGGGGAAGAAAAAAGAAUUAUUGAUCAAAUUUGGAUCUCUGUGUGCUGUCCUCCAAUUUAAUACUUUCUGUGUUGCUGUUUUAUUUUCUUUCUUCUGGAACCUGGCAAAGUGCGUCAAGCGAUGAGGCUUCCUCUUUGAAGAUCACAGGUGAGAAGAUUAGGUGCUUUCUCAGAAGCCCAGCAACCUGAUGGGAGUGUGGAGUGAGCAAGACCCAAAUCGGAGCUUCAUCCCUGCAUGGUUCAUUUUGCUUAUUUGGCAAACUUGCCCUGCAGAAUCUACUCAAGCUUCCUCAGUUUCUCAAAUCAUUCUUGGGCAACAAAUGAACAAGAAAGAGGACGUCUUAUUAUCUGGUGUCUGGCUUGCUGAUUUAAUAACCUAGGAGACAGUGUUUGAAGAACACAAACUCUAAAGUCCUUCACUUAAAAAAAAAAAAAAACUUUCCCAAAUUGCUUACCAUUUGGAAAAAUUGCCUUACCUUCUUCAGUCAUCUCUGAUGUUGUCAUCCUCAGAGUAAGAAGUACGCAUUCAUAAGGAACCAUAACGUCCUUCAGGAAAUCCAGUACACCCUACAAUUUUACCUAAAACUUUGAUGUUGUUUUUUCUGAGCAUUUUACCUUCUAGGGAAAUGGAUCUCAUGCUGUUUAUCAGUUUCUGAAAGUUGUUAUUAAUCUCCCCUCAUCCCAAAAUUGAAGAACUUUGCUUAAAUCUUAGAAUCAGAACUUUGGCUCCAGUAAUAAAGACUUUUCAAUA